GUCCAGAGAUGGGAAUCGAACCCACAGUGUUCCGCUUACCGGGCAAAUGCCAUGUCCACUAGGCUACCCUGGA
Molecule: transfer RNA, 73 nt
Filed under: Cordylochernes scorpioides
Lineage: Eukaryota; Metazoa; Arthropoda; Arachnida; Pseudoscorpiones; Chernetidae
Description: tRNA-Thr
Source: RNAcentral